UCCGGAGGGUGCAAUCGUUGUUCGGAAUCAUUGGGCGUAAAGCGCGUGUAGGCGGCUUGGCAAGUCGGGUGUGAAAUCCCGGGGCUCAACCCCGGAACUGCAUUCGAAACUGCUUCGCUAGAGUCCCGGAGAGGAAGGCGGAAUUCCCGGUGUAGAGGUGAAAUUCGUAGAUAUCGGGAGGAACACCAGCGGCGAAGGCGGCCUUCUGGACGGUGACUGACGCUGAGACGCGAAAGCGUGGGGAGCAAACAGG
This 253-nucleotide ribosomal RNA is filed under the name uncultured bacterium. Its description in RNAcentral is "partial 16S ribosomal RNA". It matches the Rfam family "Bacterial small subunit ribosomal RNA", at positions 524 to 776 of the family's 1533-position model. The record is from RNAcentral.